Molecule: ribosomal RNA, 165 nt
Filed under: Salicornia fruticosa
Lineage: Eukaryota; Viridiplantae; Streptophyta; Magnoliopsida; Caryophyllales; Amaranthaceae
Also listed under: 1 other name
Description: 5.8S ribosomal RNA
Rfam family: 5.8S ribosomal RNA
About the family: 5.8S ribosomal RNA (5.8S rRNA) is a component of the large subunit of the eukaryotic ribosome. It is transcribed by RNA polymerase I as part of the 45S precursor that also contains 18S and 28S rRNA. Functionally, it is thought that 5.8S rRNA may be involved in ribosome translocation.
Source: RNAcentral
UAAAACGACUUUCGGCAACGGAUAUCUCGGCUCUCGCAUCGAUGAAGAACGUAGCGAAAUGCGAUACUUGGUGUGAAUUGCAGAAUCCCGUGAACCAUCGAGUCUUUGAACGCAAGUUGCGCCCGAAGCCUUCUGGCCGAGGGCACGUCUGCCUGGGCGUCACGC